This 2223-nucleotide ribosomal RNA is filed under the name Francisella tularensis. Its description in RNAcentral is "partial 23S ribosomal RNA". It matches the Rfam family "Bacterial large subunit ribosomal RNA", at positions 711 to 2925 of the family's 2925-position model. The record is from RNAcentral. Lineage: Bacteria; Pseudomonadati; Pseudomonadota; Gammaproteobacteria; Thiotrichales; Francisellaceae.
AGACCCGAAACCGGCGCGAUCUAUCCAUGGCCAGGUUGAAGAUUAGGUAGUACUAAUUGGAGGACCGAACCCAAUACUGUUGCAAAAGUAUGGGAUGAGCUGUGGAUCGGAGUGAAAGGCUAAUCAAGCACGGAGAUAGCUGGUUCUCCCCGAAAACUAUUUAGGUAGUGCCUCGUGUAUAACUCAUUGGGGUAAAGCACUGUUUCGACAAUGGGGGUUUUACGACCUUACUGACUCGAUGCAAACUCAGAAUACGAUGAAGUUCGAUCACGGGAGACACACUGCGGGUGCUAAGGUCCGCAGUGGAAAGGGAAACAGCCCAGACCGCCAACUAAGGUCCCAAAGUCAUAGCUAAGUGGGAAACGAAGUGGGAAGGCCCAGACAGCCAGGAGGUUGGCUUAGAAGCAGCCACCCUUUAAAGAAAGCGUAAUAGCUCACUGGUCGAGUCGGCCUGCACGUAAGAUUUAACGGGGCUAAGCUAUGCACUGAAGUUGCGGAAUAUAUUUAGUAUAUUGGUAGGGGAGCGUUCUGUAAGCCGAUGAAGGUGAAUUGAGAAGUUUGCUGGAGGUAUCAGAAGUGCGAAUGCUGACAUGAGUAACGUAAAAUAAGUGAGAUUCUUAUUGGCCGAAAACCCAAGGGUUCCUACGCAAUGUUAAUCAACGUAGGGUAAGCCGGCCCCUAAGGCGUAGCUGAAGAGUGAAGUCGAUGGGAAACAGGUUAAUAUUCCUGUGCUGCUUAUAUGAACGAAGGAGGGACGGAGAAGGUUAGGUAGGCCUGGCGAAUGGUUGUCCAGGUGAAAGUAUGUAGGUAGGAAUGCUAGGCAAAUCCGGUGUUCUGUUGAUCUGAGAUACGAGACGAAGUUAAACUUGUUUGACGAAGCUAUUGAUACCAUGCUUCCAGGAAAAGCUUCUAAGUAUAUUGUAUAAGUGACCGUACUGUAAACCGACACUGGUGGGUAGGUAGAGAAUACUAAGGCUAUGAGAUAACUCUGGUGAAGGAACUAGGCAAAAUGACACCGUAACUUUGGAAGAAGGUGUGCCCUUGAUGGUGAUGAGACUUGCUCUUUGAGCUGUUGGGGGUUGCAGAUACCAGGUGGCUGCGACUGUUUAUCAAAAACACAGCACUCUGCGAAAUCGUAAGAUGAAGUAUAGGGUGUGACGCCUGCCCGGUGCUGGAAGGUUAAUUGAAGGGGUUAGCGCAAGCGAAGCUCUGGAUCGAAGCCCCAGUAAACGGCGGCCGUAACUAUAACGGUCCUAAGGUAGCGAAAUUCCUUGUCGGGUAAGUUCCGACCUGCACGAAUGGCGUAACGAUGGCCACACUGUCUCCACCAGAGACUCAGUGAAAUUGAAAUCGCUGUGAAGAUGCAGUGUACCCGCGGUUAGACGGAAAGACCCCGUGAACCUUUACUAUAGCUUUGCACUGGACUUUGAAUAUUUAUGUGUAGGAUAGGUGGGAGACCAUGAAGCAGCUACGCCAGUAGUUGUGGAGUCGUCCUUGAAAUACCACCCUUGAAUAUUUGAAGUUCUAACUCAGGAGAGAUUCGAGGACAGUGUAUGGUGGGUAGUUUGACUGGGGCGGUCUCCUCCUAAAGAGUAACGGAGGAGUACGAAGGUGCACUCGGUACGGUCGGAAAUCGUGCCAAGAGUAUAAAGGCAAAAGUGCGCUUGACUGCGAGAGUGACGGCUCGAGCAGGUACGAAAGUAGGUCUUAGUGAUCCGGUGGUCCCGAAUGGAAGGGUCAUCGCUCAACGGAUAAAAGGUACUCCGGGGAUAACAGGCUAAUUCCUCCCAAGAGUUCAUAUCGACGGAGGAGUUUGGCACCUCGAUGUCGGCUCAUCACAUCCUGGGGCUGAAGUAGGUCCCAAGGGUAUGGCUGUUCGCCAUUUAAAGUGGUACGCGAGCUGGGUUCAGAACGUCGUGAGACAGUUCGGUCCCUAUCUGCCGUGGGCGUUAGAGAUUUGAGAAGAGUUGCUCCUAGUACGAGAGGACCGGAGUGAACGAACCACUGGCGUUCCGGUUGUUUCGCCAGAAGCAUUGCCGGGUAGCUACGUUUGGACGGGAUAAACGCUGAAAGCAUCUAAGCGUGAAGCCUCCUUCAAGAUUAGAUCUCUCUGAUGAAAAUCAGUAAGGAACGUUGGAGACUACGACGUUGAUAGGCUGGGUGUGGAAGUACAGCAAUGUAUGAAGCUUACCAGUACUAAUGAUCCGAGAGACUUAAGUCUAU